Molecule: unclassified non-coding RNA, 271 nt
Filed under: plant metagenome
Description: partial contains small subunit ribosomal RNA, internal transcribed spacer 1, and 5.8S ribosomal RNA
Source: RNAcentral
UCUCCGUAGGUGAACCUGCGGAAGGAUCAUUAAUGAGUUGUCAUGGGGUUCGAUGCUGCAGCCAGUUUUUGGAUGCAUGUGCUUGCCCUAACAAUCAUCUUCUUCCAAACACCUGUGCACAUUUUUGAGGGAGUCUUGAGUUGGUUGCCGCUCUUGGGUGAUUUUCUCACAUUCCCUUAAAUCAUUAUACGCUAUUAACAAUGUUGAACGUGCUCUGUGCCGCAAGGCCAUUAAUAUAAUACAACUUUCAACAACGGAUCUCUUGGUUCUG